RNAcentral lists this ribosomal RNA (273 nucleotides) under uncultured bacterium. RNAcentral's name for it is "partial 16S ribosomal RNA". It matches the Rfam family "Bacterial small subunit ribosomal RNA", at positions 523 to 796 of the family's 1533-position model. The record is from RNAcentral.
AUACGUAGGAUCCGAGCGUUGUCCGGAUUUACUGGGCGUAAAGGGUGCGUAGGCGGUUUGUCAAGUCUUAUGUGAAAUCUCCCGGCUCAACUGGGAGGGUCAUAGGAAACUGGCAGACUUGAGGGCAGUAGAGGAGAGCGGAAUUCCUGGAGUAGCGGUGAUAUGCGUAGAUACCAGGAGGAACACCAGAGGCGAAAGCGGCUCUCUGGGCUGUACCUGACGCUGAGGCACGAAAGCGUGGGGAGCAAACAGGAUUAGAAACCCCGGUAGUCC